UGUUGCCCAGAUAUGCAACCCAAGAGGGGGGGUGAAUUGGGUUUUUAAAAAUUUUAAGCUUAACUAAUUACUUAUGAAAAGUAUUUGUUAAAAGCUUGAUGAAUGAGAAGAAAGACUUUAAUUCAAGAUUAAUUACCUAAAGCCAGAAUGCAAAGAUAUAAUAAAGAAAUAAAGAGAAACAAUAAAGCACACCACAAACACAAGGAUUUAUAGUGGUUCGGUGCCAACCUUGCACCUACAUCCACUCCCCAAGCUCCUAUUUGGGAAUUCUAAUCCACUAUACUUGUAUUCAACCUGAAUACAAACGUCGGAAACUCCGACACUAGCUAUCCCAAGCUAGUCCACUUGUUUUCCGGGUACAAGCCA
RNAcentral lists this long non-coding RNA (366 nucleotides) under Elaeis guineensis (African oil palm). RNAcentral's name for it is "long non-coding RNA (EGUI_LNC076802)". Lineage: Eukaryota; Viridiplantae; Streptophyta; Magnoliopsida; Arecales; Arecaceae. The record is from RNAcentral.